This 397-nucleotide ribosomal RNA is filed under the name uncultured bacterium. Its description in RNAcentral is "partial 16S ribosomal RNA". It matches the Rfam family "Bacterial small subunit ribosomal RNA", at positions 523 to 918 of the family's 1533-position model. The record is from RNAcentral.
AUACGUAGGGGGCGAGCGUUGUCCGGAAUGAUUGGGCGUAAAGGGCGCGUAGGCGGCCCGGUAAGUCUGGAGUGAAAGUCCUGUUUUUAAGAUGGGAAUUGCUUUGGAUACUGUCGGGCUUGAGUGCAGGAGAGGUAAGUGGAAUUCCCAGUGUAGCGGUGAAAUGCGUAGAGAUUGGGAGGAACACCAGUGGCGAAGGCGACUUACUGGGCCGUAACUGACGCUGAGGCGCGAAAGCGUGGGGAGCGAACGGGAUUAGAUACCCUGGUAGUCCACGCUGUAAACGAUGAAUGCUAGGUGUAGGGGGUAUCGACCCCUCCUGUGCCGGAGUAAACGCAAUAAGCAUUCCGCCUGGGGAGUACGGCCGCAAGGUUGAAACUCAAAGGAAUUGACGGGG